AAUUCACUCAUUUGCUUGAAGGUUAAAGACUACAUGAGACUUUGACAGAUGGCGGGAAACCCUCAUCCACUGGUAGAGGAAUGUCUGCAACUAAGCCGAGGGCCACUGGAUAAGGGUUGUUGAUGGUAAAACAGGUAGAGGAAUGUCUGCAACUAAGCCGAGGGCCACUGGAUAAGGGUUGUUGAUGGUAAAACAGGUAGAGGAAUGUCUGCAACUAAGCCGAGGGCCACUGGAUAAGGGUUGUUGAUGGUAAAACAGGUAGAGGAAUGUCUGCAACUAAGCCGAGGGCCACUGGAUAAGGGUUGUUGAUGGUAAAACAGGUUAAAGACUACAUGAGACUUUGACAGAUGGCGGGAAACCCUCAUCCACUGGUAGAGGAAUGUCUGCAACUAAGCCGAGGGCCACUGGAUAAGGGUUGUUGAUGGUAAAACAGGUUAAAGACUACAUGAGACUUUGACAGAUGGCGGGAAACCCUCAUCCACUGGUAGAGGAAUGUCUGCAACUAAGCCGAGGGCCACUGGAUAAGGGUUGUUGAUGGUAAAACAGGUUAAAGACUACAUGAGACUUUGACAGAUGGCGGGAAACCCUCAUCCACUGGUACGAACCCGGUAAAUUGAUGGCUGUAAAACAGUGACCGCUGAUUCGCAUCGAGUUCUUUCUUGCAAAACGCAUGACCCCCCUUUUUUAUUGUCUAAAUCAUUGCGACUUGGAAUGCUCUUUAAGAAAAGGUAUGGUUAUGGGGGUCUCUAUGCGCAAAAGUUUGACUUUAUUUUUUGUUGAAGUUAUUGCUUUUACAUUGAAUUUGUGUAGGAAAUCUUUUGGUAUAUUGUAA
Long non-coding RNA from Dreissena polymorpha, 832 nucleotides. RefSeq lists it as uncharacterized. Lineage: Eukaryota; Metazoa; Mollusca; Bivalvia; Myida; Dreissenidae. The transcript has 10 exons. The record is from RefSeq and is a predicted model, not a curated record.